This 497-nucleotide ribosomal RNA is filed under the name uncultured bacterium. RNAcentral's name for it is "partial 16S ribosomal RNA". It matches the Rfam family "Bacterial small subunit ribosomal RNA", at positions 28 to 507 of the family's 1533-position model. The record is from RNAcentral.
GAUGAACGCUGGCGGCGUGCCUAAUACAUGCAAGUCGAGCGAACAGACGAGGAGCUUGCUCCUCUGACGUUAGCGGCGGACGGGUGAGUAACACGUGGAUAACCUACCUAUAAGACUGGGACAACUUCGGGAAACCGGAGCUAAUACCGGAUAAUAUAUUGAACCGCAUGGUUCAAUAGUGAAAGACGGUUUUGCUGUCACUUAUAGAUGGAUCCGCGCCGCAUUAGCUAGUUGGUAAGGUAACGGCUUACCAAGGCAACGAUGCGUAGCCGACCUGAGAGGGUGAUCGGCCACACUGGAACUGAGACACGGUCCAGACUCCUACGGGAGGCAGCAGUAGGGAAUCUUCCGCAAAGGGCGAAAGCCUGACGGAGCAACGCCGCGUGAGUGAUGAAGGUCUUCGGAUCGUAAAACUCUGUUAUUAGGGAAGAACAAAUGUGUAAGUAACUAUGCACGUCUUGACGGUACCUAAUCAGAAAGCCACGGCUAACUACGUG